UAGGGAAUCUUCCACAAUGGACGCAAGUCUGAUGGAGCAACGCCGCGUGAGUGAAGAAGGUCUUCGGAUCGUAAAACUCUGUUGUUAGAGAAGAACACGAGUGAGAGUAACUGUUCAUUCGAUGACGGUAUCUAACCAGCAAGUCACGGCUAACUACGUGCAG
Molecule: ribosomal RNA, 163 nt
Filed under: uncultured bacterium
Lineage: Bacteria
Description: partial 16S rRNA
Rfam family: Bacterial small subunit ribosomal RNA
Source: RNAcentral